RNAcentral lists this ribosomal RNA (450 nucleotides) under uncultured bacterium. Its description in RNAcentral is "partial 16S ribosomal RNA". It matches the Rfam family "Bacterial small subunit ribosomal RNA", at positions 354 to 796 of the family's 1533-position model. The record is from RNAcentral.
GUGGGGAAUUUUGGACAAUGGGCGCAAGCCUGAUCCAGCAAUGCCGCGUGCAGGAAGAAGGCCUUCGGGUUGUAAACUGCUUUUGUACGGAACGAAACGGUCCUGGCUAAUAUCCGGGGCUAAUGACGGUACCGUAAGAAUAAGCACCGGCUAACUACGUGCCAGCAGCCGCGGUAAUACGUAGGGUGCGAGCGUUAAUCGGAAUUACUGGGCGUAAAGCGUGCGCAGGCGGUGCUGUAAGACAGGCGUGAAAUCCCCGGGCUCAACCUGGGAAUUGCGCUUGUGACUGCAGUGCUGGAGUGCGGCGGAGGGGGAUGGAAUUCCGCGUGUAGCAGUGAAAUGCGUAGAUAUGCGGAGGAACACCGAUGGCGAAGGCAAUCCCCUGGGCCUGCACUGACGCUCAUGCACGAAAGCGUGGGGAGCAAACAGGAUUAGAAACCCCAGUAGUCC